GCUGGGCAUGGUGGUGCAUGCCUGUAAUCCCAGCAGCUCAGGAGGCUGAGGCAGGAGGAUUUGUGAGUUCAAAGCUAGGCUCAGCAAUGGUGAAGCGCUAAGAAACUCAGAACCUGUCUUUA
This 122-nucleotide small RNA is filed under the name Marmota monax (woodchuck). Lineage: Eukaryota; Metazoa; Chordata; Mammalia; Rodentia; Sciuridae. The record is from RNAcentral.